RNAcentral lists this ribosomal RNA (739 nucleotides) under uncultured bacterium. Its description in RNAcentral is "bacterial SSU rRNA". It matches the Rfam family "Bacterial small subunit ribosomal RNA", at positions 160 to 946 of the family's 1533-position model. The record is from RNAcentral.
GGCUUUAUACCGUAUACGCCCUUCGGGGGAAAGAUUUCGGUGAAGGAUCGGCCCGCGUUAGAUUAGAUAGUUGCUGGGUAACGGCCUACCAAGUCUACGAUCUAUAGCUGGUUUUAGAGAUGAUCACCAACACUGGGAUUGAGACACGGCCCAGACUCCUACGGGAGGCAGCAGUGGGGAAUCUUAGACAAUGGGCGCAAGCCUGAUCUAGCCAUGCCGCGUGAGUGAUGAAGGCCUUAGGGUCGUAAAGCUCUUUCGCCAGGGAUGAUAAUGACAGUACCGGUAAAGAAACCCCGGCUAACUCCGUGCCAGCAGCCGCGGUAAUACGGAGGGGGUUAGCGUUGUUCGGAAUUACUGGGCGUAAAGCGCGCUAGGCGGAUUGGAAAGUUGGGGGUGAAAUCCCAGGGCUCAACCGUGGAACUGCCUCCAAAACUAUCAGUCUAGAGUUAGAGAGAGGUGAGUGGAACUCCGAGUGUAGAGGUGAAAUUCGUAGAUAUUCGAAGAACACCAGUGGCGAAGGCGGCUCACUGGCUCCAACUGACGCUGAGGUGCGAAAUGUGGGGAGCAAACAUGAUUAGAUACCCUGGUAGCCACACCGUAAACGAUGAAUCCCAGUCGUCGGAUAGCAUCCUAUUCGGUGACACACCUAACGGAUAAAGCAUUCCGCCUGGGGAGUACGGUCGCAAGAUUAAAACUCAAAGGAAUGACGGGGGCCCGCACAAGCGGUCGGCAUGUGGUU